ACGUACUACGUGUACGCUCCGGUUCUUGCGCGCUGGCCGGACCCAAACUGGCUGCGUCAAUGACGCCUGGUUAUUCCAGUUAGUC
RNAcentral lists this small RNA (85 nucleotides) under Klebsiella planticola. RNAcentral's name for it is "Raoultella planticola sX9". Lineage: Bacteria; Pseudomonadati; Pseudomonadota; Gammaproteobacteria; Enterobacterales; Enterobacteriaceae. The record is from RNAcentral.